This 987-nucleotide long non-coding RNA is filed under the name Scleropages formosus (Asian bonytongue). RNAcentral describes it as "lncRNA (ENSSFOG00015024478.1)". The record is from RNAcentral. Lineage: Eukaryota; Metazoa; Chordata; Actinopteri; Osteoglossiformes; Osteoglossidae.
ACCCAUCACCGUCUGCUGGUGAGCUGGAUCAGACGGCAGGGAAAACUGACAGACAGAUCCGGUAGGCCCAAGCGCAUAGUGAGGGCGUGCUGGGAACAAGCGUCAGAGGACCCUGUCCGGAAUGAUUUUAACUCCCACCUUCGUGAGAACUCCUCCCAUGUCCCGGAGGAGGUAGGAGACAUGGAGUCUGAAUGAAAAUUUGAUUUUAAAAGCUUUGCUAUGCCUACAUGCUUCUGUAAUAGAACGUUUAAGAAUAAUGUUUAACUGCUGAAUAGCCUAUGCAAGAAAGCGGCACAUUCCAGGCUAUAGUUUGCUCUCUGUAUGUCCCCUUUUGUGCCAGCCUGUUCCCAUGAGAUAUCAGAGAAAUGUGGCUUACGCAGACUCACGUAAAGCCCAGAGGAUGUGUGCAACUGUUUCACAUAAGAAAGGAGAUAAACUGGUGACAGUGGACGUGUGUGAUGAGAGAUUGAGGGGCACAGUGACACACCUGGAAUGUUCAAAAAAUAACAUGUAUUCUGCCUAUGCUUACAAAAAUCUGCCCUAGAAUGUGUAUAAAUAUCUGCUUGCCUGGCUGCUCUGGUGUGACUCUGCGCAUACGAAUAAAUAAGGUUUUCUGCAACUCAAGUGACCGAGUGAUCUAUUUGUAUGACAAUUCUCAUUUUUCCCACCACAGUUUUGGGGGCUCGUCCGGGAUCACGACCUUCUGCCGGGACCGACCCGUGUGCCGCGAGGAACCCGACUAAGGGGGCAACCCUCCUAGGUCUAGGGGACCUGCUGGUGACCCAGCCCGAGCAAAAGUUAGGGCUGGCCCGUCCUGCGGUGCACCGAUCGACUCGGACAGAAUACGUGACACAGCUGCAGGCGCUGUGACUGAAUGUCGUCACCACCGACACCGUGGUCAAAACAGCACGGAAGCGCCUGUCCUCUCUCCGUAGGCUGAACAAGUUUGGCAUGCCAUCCCGGAUCCGGGGCUAAUUUCUACAGGCG